AUCUUUUACAAAAAUCUUCUCCUCUGAAACUGCUGGGCCAAAUUAAUCCAAACUUGGCCACAAUCAUCAUUGGGGUAUCUAGUUUAAAAAAUGUGUCCGGUGACCCGGCCAUCCAACCAAGAUGGCUGCCAUGGCUAAAAAUAGAACAUAGGGGUAAAAUGCAGUUUUUGGCUUAUAACUCAAAAACCAAAGCAUUUAGAGCAAAUCUGACAUGGGUAAAAUUGUUUAUCAGGUCAAAAUCUAUCUGCCCUGAAAUUUUCAGAUGAAUUGGACAACCCGUUGUUGGGUUGCUGUCCCUAAAUUGGUAAUUUUAAGGAAAUUUUACUGUUUUUGGGUUAUUAUCUUGAAUAUUAUUAUAGAUAGAGAUAAACUUUAAGCAGCAAUAAUGUACAGCAAAGUAAGAUUUACAAAUAAGUCAAUAUGACUGAAAUGGUCAAUUGACCCCCUAAGGAGUUAUUGUCCUUUAUAGUCAAUUUUUAACAAUUUUUAUAAAAUUUGUAAAUUUUUACUAACAUUUUCCACUGAAACUACUGGGCCAAGUUCAUUAUAGAUAGAGAUAACUGUAAGCAGCAAGAAUGUUCAGUAAAGUAAAACGUUCAAACACAUCACCAUCACCAAAACACAAUUUUGUCAUGAAUCCAUCUGCUUCCUUUGUUUAAUAUUCACAUAGACCAAGGUGAGCGACACAGGCUCUUUAGAGCCUCUAGUUCGUAAAUCUUAGUAAUCUUUUACAAAAAUCUUCUCCUCUGAAACUACUGGGCCAAAUUAAUCCAAACUUGGCCACAAUCAUCAUUGGGGUAUCUAGUUUAAAAAAUGUGUCCGGUGACCCGGUCAACCAACCAAGAUAGCUGCCAUGGCUAAAAAUAGAACAUAGGGGUAAAAUGCAGUUUUUGGCUUAUAACUCAAUAACCAAAGCAUUUAGAGCAAAUCUCACAUGGG
RNAcentral lists this long non-coding RNA (939 nucleotides) under Mytilus galloprovincialis (Mediterranean mussel). Lineage: Eukaryota; Metazoa; Mollusca; Bivalvia; Mytilida; Mytilidae. The record is from RNAcentral.